GGGAGGUGAAUAAGGUUGUGCAGCGGAAGGAGAGAAGAGGACAGCAGGAGAGGAGGAGCAGAGUCAUUGCUGCAGGGCAGUGAGGGGGGCUGGGGAGGGGCAGAUGUGCUGAGUGAGCACUGAGUAGCAUAGGAGAGGAGACAGGGAGCAAGCUCUGAGAGAGCCACGUGAGGCCUUGAAGAUGAAAUGAGAACUGAACUUUGAUGUAGAAGGAGUCUGGGAGUCAGCACAGGGAUUCAAGAAGAGGAAAUGACACAAGUGGAACAGCAGUCCUGGGUUUUUCCACUGUGAAGCCAAGCCAACCUGUGUUUUUCUAGCACUCAGUACAAAUGUUACAAAAUACAGGAUUGGACAUUAUACCUCACUGGAAGAGUUCAAAUCUGGUAGCAUCCAUGCUGACCAGAGACAACUUCACUGCCCCUGCUCCAGGACUCUGAGGAUGGGCUAUGAUACUGUGAUUUAUCCAGCCUAACCCUUUGCCAACAGUAAGCAGGCUCCCAGUGAGUUCAAGAGAUGGUGUCUGAAGAACCCAGCAUGACCUCGAACAAAACCUGUAUGACACAGCAGUACCUGAUAGAACCAGCGCAAAAUCCUCUCGAUAACCUAGCAUGACCCACAAGACUGACCCUGUGACAACAUCUGAUUUAUGGCAAAUGACAUGGAUUUAAUCACUCACUGGAGAAUGCUGAAUGACGCAGCACAGCGUUGCUCACUGUGGCUCUACUGAACUGGCACGCUCCGAUUGGCUUUGGGAACACACCCAUUGGGUGAUU
Molecule: long non-coding RNA, 773 nt
Organism: Ficedula albicollis (Collared flycatcher)
Lineage: Eukaryota; Metazoa; Chordata; Aves; Passeriformes; Muscicapidae
Exons: 4
Source: RefSeq, a predicted model, not a curated record